GCCUUUGAUACUGGUUAUCUUGAGUUAUUAUGAAGUAGUUAGAAUAUGUAGUGUAGCGGUGAAAUGCAUAGAUAUUACAUAGAAUACCAAUUGCGAAGGCCGAUUACUAAUAAUCAACUGACACUGAUGGACGAAAGCGUGGGUAGCGAACAGGAUUAGAUACCCUGGUAGUCCACGCCGUAAACGAUGGUUACUAGCUGUUUGGACCUUGUGUCUGAGUGGCUAAGCGAAAGUGAUAAGUAACCCACCUGGGGAGUACGUUCGCAAGAAUGAAACUCAAAGGAAUUGACGGGGGCCCGCACAAGCGGUGGAGCAUGUGGUUUAAUUCUAUGAUACGCGAGGAACCUUACCAGGGCUUAAAUGUAAGUUGCAUUAGUUAGAGAUAGCUAUUUCUUCGGACCACUUACAAGGUGCUGCAUGGUUGUCGUCAGCUCGUGCCGUGAGGUGUCAGGUUAAGUCCUAUAACGAGCGCAACCCCUGUUGUUAGUUGCCAGCGAGUCAUGUCGGGAACUCUAACAAGACUGCCAGUGCAAACUGUGAGGAAGGUGGGGAUGACGUCAAAUCAUCACGGCCCUUACGUCCUGGGCUACACACGUGCUACAAUGGUCAGUACAGAGAGCAGCCACUACGCGAGUAGGAGCGAAUCUUAAAAGCCGAUCACAGUUCGGAUCGGAGUCUGCAACUCGACUCCGUGAAGCUGGAAUCGCUAGUAAU
This 714-nucleotide ribosomal RNA is filed under the name uncultured bacterium. Its description in RNAcentral is "bacterial SSU rRNA". It matches the Rfam family "Bacterial small subunit ribosomal RNA", at positions 623 to 1342 of the family's 1533-position model. The record is from RNAcentral.